Molecule: ribosomal RNA, 478 nt
Filed under: Hydroporus obsoletus
Lineage: Eukaryota; Metazoa; Arthropoda; Insecta; Coleoptera; Dytiscidae
Description: partial 16S ribosomal RNA
Rfam family: Bacterial large subunit ribosomal RNA (bases 235-393)
Source: RNAcentral
AUAAAAAAUAGAAUUUAAUUUUUAAGUUAAAAAGCUUAAAUAAAAAUAAAAGACGAGAAGACCCUAUAGAUCUUUAUAUAAAUUUUUUUAAUAUUAAUAAAGAAAAUUUUAUUUAUUAGUAAGGUUUUUAUUUUAUUGGGGUAAUAAAAAGAUUUAAAAAAUUCUUUAUAUUUAAACAUAAAUUAUUGGUUAUAUGAUCCAUUAUUAAUGAUUAAAAGAUUAAGUUACCUUAGGGAUAACAGCGUAAUUUUUUUUGAGAGUUCUUAUCAAUAAAAAAGUUUGCGACCUCGAUGUUGGAUUAAAAGUAAUCUUAGGUGCAGAAGUUUAAGAUUUUGGUCUGUUCGACCAUUAAAUUUUUACAUGAUCUGAGUUUAGACCGGCGUAAGCCAGGUUGGUUUCUAUCUUUAUUUAAUUAAUAUAUUUUAGUACGAAAGGACCAAAUAUAUAAUAUAUUUAUAUUUAUUUUUUGAAUUAUAUU